RNAcentral lists this ribosomal RNA (774 nucleotides) under uncultured bacterium. RNAcentral describes it as "bacterial SSU rRNA". It matches the Rfam family "Bacterial small subunit ribosomal RNA", at positions 54 to 841 of the family's 1533-position model. The record is from RNAcentral.
CAUGCAAGUCGAACGAGCGAGAGAGAGCUUGCUUUCUCGAGCGAGUGGCGAACGGGUGAGUAACGCGUGAGGAACCUGCCUCAAAGAGGGGGACAACAGUUGGAAACGACUGCUAAUACCGCAUAAGCCCACGGGUCGGCAUCGACCAGAGGGAAAAGGAGCAAUCCGCUUUGAGAUGGCCUCGCGUCCGAUUAGCUAGUUGGUGAGGUAAUGGCCCACCAAGGCGACGAUCGGUAGCCGGACUGAGAGGUUGAACGGCCACAUUGGGACUGAGACACGGCCCAGACUCCUACGGGAGGCAGCAGUGGGGAAUAUUGCACAAUGGGGGAAACCCUGAUGCAGCGACGCCGCGUGGAGGAAGAAGGUCUUCGGAUUGUAAACUCCUGUUGUUGGGGAAGAUAAUGACGGUACCCAACAAGGAAGUGACGGCUAACUACGUGCCAGCAGCCGCGGUAAAACGUAGGUCACAAGCGUUGUCCGGAAUUACUGGGUGUAAAGGGAGCGCAGGCGGGAAGACAAGUUGGAAGUGAAAUCUAUGGGCUCAACCCAUAAACUGCUUUCAAAACUGUUUUUCUUGAGUAGUGCAGAGGUAGGCGGAAUUCCCGGUGUAGCGGUGGAAUGCGUAGAUAUCGGGAGGAACACCAGUGGCGAAGGCGGCCUACUGGGCACCAACUGACGCUGAGGCUCGAAAGUGUGGGUAGCAAACAGGAUUAGAUACCCUGGUAGUCCACACCGUAAACGAUGAUUACUAGGUGUUGGAGGAUUGACCCCUUC